Molecule: ribosomal RNA, 305 nt
Filed under: uncultured bacterium
Lineage: Bacteria
Description: bacterial SSU rRNA
Rfam family: Bacterial small subunit ribosomal RNA
Source: RNAcentral
CUCCCUACGGGAGGCAGCAGUGAGGAAUAUUGGUCAAUGGGCGGAAGCCUGAACCAGCCAAGUCGCGUGAGGGAAUAAGGCCCUACGGGUCGUAAACCUCUUUUGCCGGGGAGCAAGGGCGGGGACGUGUCCCGGCCCGGAGAGUACCCGGAGAAAAAGCAUCGGCUAACUCCGUGCCAGCAGCCGCGGUAAUACGGAGGUGGCAAGCGUUGUCCGGAAUUACUGGGUGUAAAGGGAGCGCAGGCGGGAAGCCAAGUCAGCUGUGAAAACUACGGGCUUAACUUGUAGACUGCAGUUGAAACUGG